AGUUAAAUAGAAGCUGAAUGCGUGAAAUAUGAAUACAUCCUCACGGUCCUCGUCUCGUUAUAGGUUACAAAGUGCCGGGAGCCGUGCAGGGCCAGUGAACCCCUCGCUGAGACUCAGUUUGCUGCCAUCACAAGUGCUCUGAGAAUCCUGGAGAGGGAGGAUAUUGGAGACAAACGGGACUGCUGCCCGCCUUUUAGGCGACCGUUGGAGGCUGCUCUGUGCCGGACACAGGCAGGGAAAAUGUCAGCCCCGCGAGGGAAAUGGC
Homo sapiens (human) is the source of this 265-nucleotide long non-coding RNA. The record is from Ensembl. Lineage: Eukaryota; Metazoa; Chordata; Mammalia; Primates; Hominidae.